RNAcentral lists this ribosomal RNA (468 nucleotides) under Shigella sonnei. Its description in RNAcentral is "partial 23S ribosomal RNA". It matches the Rfam family "Bacterial large subunit ribosomal RNA", at positions 450 to 920 of the family's 2925-position model. Lineage: Bacteria; Pseudomonadati; Pseudomonadota; Gammaproteobacteria; Enterobacterales; Enterobacteriaceae. The record is from RNAcentral.
GGCCCAUCCUCCAAGGCUAAAUACUCCUGACUGACCGAUAGUGAACCAGUACCGUGAGGGAAAGGCGAAAAGAACCCCGGCGAGGGGAGUGAAAAAGAACCUGAAACCGUGUACGUACAAGCAGUGGGAGCACGCUUAGGCGUGUGACUGCGUACCUUUUGUAUAAUGGGUCAGCGACUUAUAUUCUGUAGCAAGGUUAACCGAAUAGGGGAGCCGAAGGGAAACCGAGUCUUAACUGGGCGUUAAGUUGCAGGGUAUAGACCCGAAACCCGGUGAUCUAGCCAUGGGCAGGUUGAAGGUUGGGUAACACUAACUGGAGGACCGAACCGACUAAUGUUGAAAAAUUAGCGGAUGACUUGUGGCUGGGGGUGAAAGGCCAAUCAAACCGGGAGAUAGCUGGUUCUCCCCGAAAGCUAUUUAGGUAGCGCCUCGUGAAUUCAUCUCCGGGGGUAGAGCACUGUUUCGGCA